UCCGGUUUAACCACCGGCGGUCCCUCUAGAGAUCCACUUUCGUGGCAACUAAAGGCGAGGGUUGCGCUCGUUGCGGGACUUAACCCAACAUCUCACGACACGAGCUGACGACAGCCAUGCAGCACCUGUCUCUCGGUUCCCUUGCGGGCACCCCGCCGUUUCGGGCAGGUUCCGAGGAUGUCAAGCCCAGGUAAGGUUCUUCGCGUUGCGUCGAAUUAAACCACAUGCUCCGCUGCUUGUGCGGGUCCCCGUCAAUUCCUUUGAGUUUUAGCCUUGCGGCCGUACUCCCCAGGCGGGGCACUUAAUGCGUUAGCUUCGGCAUGGAGGGAGUCGAUAUCCGCCCACACCUAGCACCCAACGUUUACGGCUAGGACUAC
RNAcentral lists this unclassified non-coding RNA (377 nucleotides) under uncultured bacterium. Its description in RNAcentral is "contains 16S-23S intergenic spacer region". The record is from RNAcentral.